CCUACGGGAGGCAGCAGUAGGGAAUCUUUCACAAUGGGCGAAAGCCUGAUGGAGCAACGCCGCGUGCAGGAUGAAGGCCUUCGGGUUGUAAACUGCUUUUAUAAGCGAGAAAUAUGAUGGUAACUUAUGAAUAAGGAUCGGCUAACUACGUGCCAGCAGCCGCGGUCAUACGUAGGAUCCGAGCAUUAUCCGGAGUGACUGGGUGUAAAGAGUUGCGUAGGUGGCAUAAUAAGUAGCUAGUGAAAUCUGGUGGCUCAACCAUUCAGACUAUUAGCUAAACUGUUAAGCUCGAGAACGUUAGGGGUAACUGGAAUUUCUAGUGUAGGAGUGAAAUCCGUAGAUAUUAGAAAGAACACCAAUAGCGUAGGCAGGUUACUGGGACGGUUCUGACACUAAGGCACGAAAGCGUAGGGAGCAAACGGGAUUAGAUACCCUUGUAGUC
RNAcentral lists this ribosomal RNA (442 nucleotides) under uncultured bacterium. RNAcentral describes it as "partial 16S ribosomal RNA". It matches the Rfam family "Bacterial small subunit ribosomal RNA", at positions 338 to 795 of the family's 1533-position model. The record is from RNAcentral.